Molecule: ribosomal RNA, 379 nt
Filed under: uncultured bacterium
Lineage: Bacteria
Description: bacterial SSU rRNA
Rfam family: Bacterial small subunit ribosomal RNA
Source: RNAcentral
UAAGACGUAGGGCGCGAGCGUUGUCCGGAUUUAUUGGGCGUAAAGAGCUCGUAGGCGGCUUGUCGCGUCGACUGUGAAAACCCGUGGCUCAACCAUGUGGUCUGCAGUCGAUACGGGCAGGCUAGAAUUCGGUAGGGGAGACUGGAAUUCCUGGUGUAGCGGUGAAAUGCGCAGAUAUCAGGAGGAACACCGGUGGCGAAGGCGGGUCUCUGGGCCGAUAUUGACGCUGAGGAGCGAAAGCGUGGGGAGCGAACAGGAUUAGAUACCCUGGUAGUCCACGCUGUAAACGUUGGGCGCUAGGUGUGGGGGGCCUCUCCGGUUCUCUGUGCCGCAGCUAACGCAUUAAGCGCCCCGCCUGGGGAGUACGGCCGCAAGGCUA